Molecule: small RNA, 369 nt
Filed under: Vigna angularis var. angularis
Lineage: Eukaryota; Viridiplantae; Streptophyta; Magnoliopsida; Fabales; Fabaceae
Description: Non-protein coding transcript
Source: RNAcentral
UGAAAACACAGAUCUGGUUUAGUGAGUCAGAUCUUGAGAAGUAAGAAUACCAUCAAAAAGAUUGUGUGGAACUAUCUCUCAAUACUUAUUACACUAACAAAGGUACUAAUGUAUGAAGAUAGAUUCAGAAGUUUUGCAUGCAACAUUGAGAGUGUGGGAUUUUUUGGAGUUUGCAAGAGAAAAAGAGUGAAAAUGAAGCCAAUUUCCAGCAAUGAAGAUGAAGAGUUCCAAAGAUGCAACAACAAAACUCAAUAGUCUACAAAGAUGCAACAACAAAACUCACAUACCUUAGUUUAAGGUUGUGUGAGUAAUAUAAAAAGGUUAAAUAAUAUACCUCAAGUACAAAUAAGGUUAAACAUGAUAAAGAAG